CCCCUCGCUUCUUUCUGCAGGUUACACCACCCCCAACCUGGACCCUAUCCAAUAGGCUCGUGGUCCCUGAUGGUCCUGGACCACUGAUUUGAGGCCUUUCUGCUUCCUUUGAUUCAGUCUUUGGCAGAGCCCCAGCAGCAGGAGUCCUUGAUGGCACCUGGCCCUUUCUAGUCACCGACAAGGGAAACCUGAGAAACCAUUCUCAGAAAUGGAACUAAAUUUGUGAAAACAGACGAAUCCAGGUGCUCUACAAAUGUUUAACUGUCCAGCAUUGGCGAGGCCUCUGUGAUACUGGGCCUGGGGGUGACCAGCUCCACAAAAGGCUCCUGUUCAUGUCUGAGCACAGACUAGAAGAUCCUUCUCAUGUUAAGAACCCAACCAUGGGGAGAAUCCGAAAUCAAGCUCCGACAUAGAGAAACUGUGGAAUUGCAAAUCAAGAUGAGGAAGCUCUGUGUAAUAAUGAAAGUUCAAGUCAACCAGUAAUGACCGUGGAGGGAGGUGGUUAAACAUGCAGGGUCUCAGCAACUGAGAUUCUGAUCAGUAGGGCCAAGAUGGAGCCGUGGUGGGUCCUAUGCACGGAAAAGUCAGGGGACAAGCUCUGCUUAUUAUGCCUGGACAGCCCCAUACAACCCCCAAGUGAGAACGUCUUUGAUUGUCCAUGAAGCCAAAGUCUCUUAAAUGGUGUGGACUUUUGAAUGUACAUGUCAGCUGGUUGCACGAGACUCACAUAUGGGUGUUAAAGAUCCAACCGAAUUCUUUUAAGAUCCAUGUUCAAUAUCACAUCUCCCAUCCCCUCGGAUCAGAGUUCCCCACAUGAGCAGCAUCAGAAACUCCACUGAAGCGGGGCAGAGGAAUCGUUUGAGGAGAAUCUCAGAGAGGACUCAUCUGCUUUCGUAGAACUUAUACCACGAGAUUAAAUGUUCAGGGGAUAAUAUUUCACAAGUUACAUGUUUGCUUAUGGAAUAUUUUUCCUCUAGUGAAAAUAUGAUUUGUAAAUAAUUAGAAACACAUUCAAACUUUUUAUUUUCAAGAUUAAACAUUCCCAGUGGCCACAGUGGUCUAGGGAGAUUUAUUUGACUUCCAAAGAUAAGUAAUAAAUUGCCUAGUUUCAGUUGCCUUUCUUGCCCUAUUCCAUUUGCUGAUAACGUGUAGAUCAGUGGAAGCAUUUUUUCCCCUCAGAUCUUAGUUAGCAAGAGGCUGCCAUCUAUAGAUCCUUGACCCAAUUACACACUGGUUUCAGAGACUGAAACAACAGGGGCAUUGUAGGCCUUUAAAAGAGUUUUAUACCUUUUAACUCUGAGGAUUAGGGCUUUAGGUUUUUGAUAGGCUUUUAUAUCUUAAUUUGCUUUAUUUCGCAAAGAAGCUCAAAGUGCUUAUUGUAAGAAAGACAUAAGAGUUGUCAAGCUUCCCUUUGUGCAGAUGGAGAAACUAAGACCUACAGAUGUCGGAGGACUUGCUGCCUGGUGUCAUCCAGGACGUCGGGGCAGAGCUAGGACUUAUACCCAAGCUGAAUGUUUAUUUCCCAGGCAUCUCUGCCUUCCUGAUUCAGCGAAACAAGGCUCUCUUGGCAGAGGGGUGCCAGCACCCACAAAUGGAGUCCAGCCCAAGGUUGAUGCCAUAGAAGCUGAGUUUCCUCACCAACGCUAUGAGAAGGUCUUCCAUUUUGGAAUUUUC
Callithrix jacchus (white-tufted-ear marmoset) is the source of this 1674-nucleotide long non-coding RNA. RefSeq lists it as uncharacterized. Lineage: Eukaryota; Metazoa; Chordata; Mammalia; Primates; Cebidae. The record is from RefSeq and is a predicted model, not a curated record.